RNAcentral lists this ribosomal RNA (344 nucleotides) under uncultured bacterium. RNAcentral describes it as "SSU rRNA". It matches the Rfam family "Bacterial small subunit ribosomal RNA", at positions 26 to 379 of the family's 1533-position model. The record is from RNAcentral.
AGAACGAACGCUGGCGGCGUGGAUAAGACAUGCAAGUCGAACGGGGUAGUUUGGUAGCAAUAUCAAACUGCCUAGUGGCAAACGGGUGCGUAACACGUAGGUUACAUUCCGGAAAGUGUGGGAUAGCCCAGGGAAACUUGGAUUAAUACCGCAUGUGAUCGCAAGAUCAAAGGCGAAAGCCGCUUUCCGAUUGGCCUGCGCCCUAUCAGCUAGUUGGUGAGGUAAUGGCUCACCAAGGCAACGACGGGUAGCUGGUCUGAGAGGACGACCAGCCACACUGGAACUGAGACACGGUCCAGACACCUACGGGUGGCAGCAGUCGAGAAUCUUUCACAAGUGGGGGC